This 63-nucleotide non-coding RNA is filed under the name Candidatus Colwelliibacteriota. RNAcentral's name for it is "Candidatus Colwellbacteria Li+-I sequence". It matches the Rfam family "nhaA-I RNA". From Rfam's summary of the family: Acidobacteria, Alphaproteobacteria, Betaproteobacteria and Gammaproteobacteria, Verrucomicrobia, cand. division NC10. Downstream gene The record is from RNAcentral.
GGGUUCAAGGACACAGUUCUGUACAUCCUUGGAGGAUAAGGAAUGAUGGUCGGGCCGCCAUCU